UCUGUUUUUUUACAGUGCGUUGUGCAUUAUUUUAAAAUUUAAAUCUUCCAAUAAUAUUAAUAAAAUUAUUCGUUCAUUAUGUUGUCAAUGUUUCUCCAUUACUCUAAUUGUUUAAUCCAGAAUUAUAAAAAAAUGGAAACACGUUCAAAGUUCACGAGAAAAAAAGAUGAAGGAUAAAGAUAAAGAAACAAAAAUGGCAGCUGUUGAGAAACAUUGUUCUGAUUUAGUACAAAUGAAACAUCAAGCAAGAAGAUUGACCCAUUAGAAAAUUUACAUUUAAUUAGAACAUGCAAGAAGAUCUAUCAAUUGAUUUGGAAAAUGACAAUGUGUACAAUUUUUUUAUGGGAUGAUUAGACAAGUCUCAGUACCAAGACUUUGAAAUGGAAUCAAAAGAAAUUUCUUCAGAGCAUAUCAGAAAAUGUUAAAUUAAAUGAAAUGAUGUAAAGUUUUUUCCUUUUUCGCCAACAUGUCGUAAAGGAUUUUCUUAAGCAUAGGACCACCUUUAAGUCUUUUAAGCAUAUCG
Long non-coding RNA from Polistes dominula (European paper wasp), 523 nucleotides. RefSeq lists it as uncharacterized. The record is from RefSeq and is a predicted model, not a curated record. Lineage: Eukaryota; Metazoa; Arthropoda; Insecta; Hymenoptera; Vespidae.